Molecule: long non-coding RNA, 1337 nt
Filed under: Lynx pardinus (Iberian lynx)
Lineage: Eukaryota; Metazoa; Chordata; Mammalia; Carnivora; Felidae
Source: RNAcentral
CCCCCAGCCUGUCUUCUCGGUCUCCCUUCCUCGUACCCCUCCUCAUUUCGUGUGUUUCCCCCUGCGCUUUCUCUUCCCUUCUUUCCUCCUGGCUCCCCUCUCCUGCUGGCUUCCAUCCCUUCUCUCCCCACCCCUUCAAUCUCUCUCCCUCUUUCCUCUCUCUCCUCUCUGAAUCUGCUGCUUCUCUCUCUCUCCCCUCCCAGGCUUCUCCCCUCGCACUGGCCUCCUUUCCUCUGAGCCUUGUCUCCGGGGAGGCCCCUCCACGCCCAGCCCCCCGGCAGGGGCCCUGAGCUCCUCUCCCGUCUCCCUGCCUGAAGUCUUGAGCUGACAUCCACCUGGGGAUCUGUGCCGCGUUCGUGGCAAGAGGCUGGACGGCCCGAAGCAGGGCUGCGAAGCCUGCGGCCCCCCGAGGUGCAAGGGCGUGUGUGACACCCUUUUUCUCUCUCUUUUCUGUCUGUCCUGGACCCUGGACACUGCCCGGAGGAGGGAGGCCUGCCCCUGGCCCAGGAAGGAGGAAACGAGGAGCUGGCCAGAGACCGGGAGUGAGCUGCCUGGAGACCACAGCAUGUAAGUGGCAGGGCAGGGACGGGCUGGGCCACCCUGCUCCUUCCCCACUCUGCUGAUCCCUGGUGGGCUUGGUGAGCAUGGUGGGAAGGAGGCUGCCUCCUUUCUGCCCCGUUCCCCUCCCCAACCCCCCACAAUCCUCUCUUCCUCAGGCGACAUGGAGCGUGGGAGGACCUCACCCGACUCCCAUUUCACGGAUGAGAACACAGGCACCGGAGUUCCCGGAGAUCAGCAUCUGCUAGGACAGAGGCUUCGUGGGGACCCCGGCCUUCCCAAAGGGCCAACAGCACCCCCUGCAGGGCACUUCUCUUCGCGGAGAGGGGCCAUGUGGGCCUGACCUCCCCAGAGUAUCCGGCGGAGUAUCCUAUGGGCCUGGGAGGUACUCUCUGGCGGCGCGAAACCUUUUAUCGCCGCCUACUGAUAAAGGACGGAACUGCAACCCGGCUGGAUUAGGCACCGUGAAUGGCCGCGAAAAACACAAAAACAAAAAAACCCUGCAGGGACUGGAAUGCUUGGGGGGGGGUGGGGGGGGGAGGAGAGCUGUUGGUGGGGGGAGGGGAGACGGGAAAUUUGCAAAAUUCUGUAAAAAUGUGAAAAUUUUUACUCCUGGUCAAUAUGUAAACAUCAUACCCAGCAAGCUCUUUGGUUUUCAACUGAAACCUGCACCCUUCACGUUUUCAAGUCAUUCCAUGGGUGGGUUCUUUCCACGUUGCCAUGGAAAGAAAUACAAGCAUGACUCUUCCCGGAGAAACAAAGGAAAGUUGCUUGGCGGC